AGUCCCGUGGUGUAGUGGUCAAGCAUGCAGGCCUUUGGAGCCUGCGACGGCGGUUCGAAUCCGCCCGGGACUA
This 73-nucleotide transfer RNA is filed under the name Candidatus Methanophagales archaeon. RNAcentral's name for it is "tRNA-Gln". It matches the Rfam family "tRNA". From Rfam's summary of the family: Transfer RNA (tRNA) molecules are approximately 80 nucleotides in length. Lineage: Archaea; Methanobacteriati; Methanobacteriota; Methanomicrobia; Candidatus Methanophagales. The record is from RNAcentral. RNAcentral also lists the same sequence under 2 other names.